GGGGGCGAUCGGCUUCGACGUGGGGACUGAGAUCGUAUCUGCGUGUGGCGGCGCCCGAUCCGCUCAUCAAGCGGGCCGUUAUAUGUGCGAACGACAAUGACGCACUCGCUCUCGCGGCCUGAAAACCGCUGAGCCGUCCGACGGAGAGAUCGUCCUGGUAUCCCGAAGGCGUUAAUUACGAGGGCUGCGUCGCGCGAGGGUGCUCUCGAUAGCGCGAAAGACGACAGCGAGAGAUAGGUCGCGGCCGAAUCCGCGGACCCAGUCGUUGGGGACGCAACGACUACGCACGUGAACGAAGGUACGGUUGACGCCUCGCGGACCAGGGUUCGAUUCCCUGCGCCUCCACC
This 347-nucleotide transfer-messenger RNA is filed under the name Myxococcales bacterium. Its description in RNAcentral is "partial transfer-messenger RNA". It matches the Rfam family "transfer-messenger RNA". From Rfam's summary of the family: Bacterial tmRNA, also known as 10Sa RNA or SsrA, is named for its dual tRNA and mRNA-like properties. Its role is to liberate the mRNA from a stalled ribosome. To accomplish this part of the tmRNA is used as a reading frame that ends in a translation stop signal. The record is from RNAcentral. Lineage: Bacteria; Pseudomonadati; Myxococcota; Myxococcia; Myxococcales.